Molecule: ribosomal RNA, 414 nt
Filed under: uncultured microorganism
Description: bacterial SSU rRNA
Rfam family: Archaeal small subunit ribosomal RNA
Source: RNAcentral
GCGCAGCAGUCGCGAAACCUCCGCAAUGCUCGAAAGAGCGACGGGGGGACUCCAAGUGCCUACGCUCAGCGUAGGCUGUUCCCGAGCCUAAAAAGCUCGGGGAGUAAGGGCUGGGUAAGACGGGUGCCAGCCGCCGCGGUAAUACCCGCAGCCCGAGUGGUGGCCGCUAUUAUUGGGCCUAAAGCGUCCGUAGCCGGCUCGGUAAGUCCCUGGCGAAAUCCCACGGCUCAACCGUGGGGCUUGCUGGGGAUACUGCGGGUCUUGGGACCGGGAGAGGCGGGGGGUACCCCUGGGGUAGGGGUGAAAUCCUAUAAUCCCAGGGGGACCGCCAGUGGCGAAGGCGCCCCGCUGGAACGGGUCCGACGGUGAGGGACGAAGGCCAGGGGAGCAAACCGGAUUAGAUACCCCCGUAGU